AUUCCUAUCUCAUGGAAAUGAUGGUGAAGAAAAAAGAGAUAGUGUGCAUGAUUAUCUGUUGUGGGAACACCUAACGUAAGAAUAAGAAUUUCCUUAUUUGUUCUCCUGUCAGUGAUUUGGUAUUUUACCACUUCAUUACAUUUCAUAAUACAGCAAAGUAUAAAGCUCUUCACAUACUUGACUGAGAUAGUGCCAAAAGAAUUUCUUCUUCAUAGUUGCUCCGAAUAAAUGUAUGCAUCUAACAAUGUUUUUAUCAGUAUCUGACUCAUUGUAUGAAUGAAGUGACCACAGACUCUGAACUAUGUGAACCCUUUAGAACCUACAAGAUUUGUUUUUACAGGGCAUCAGAUUCCACUGCAGACACACUUCCUUGACUUGGAUAUCUGUCAGCUGAUAGACUACAAUUGGUGAAGACAGAGCUGCUUUUUUAGCUAUGAUGGGAAAGUUGAAGAAACUAGAUAAACUCACAGCCAUCCUAUUUUAGAUGGAAAACUUUCUGGUUUUCUGAAUUGUCAAAAGCAGAAAGCUAAGUGAAAAGUGCUAAAGCUUUGUGCAUGUGCUGGCUGAUAUACCUGUAACACCACAAAGGAAACAUACAAGGAAGAAAGCACAACUCCAAAACCCUUAUCUCACUUUGAAGAGUAACCUGAAUUGUGAAACCACAGUUUUGGAAUGCCACUGCUGACCAAGGACCAGCUGUACAAGAUUUCUGUUACAGUAUAAGAAGACAUAAGGGUUUUGAUUCACAGCCCGUCCUGUAUUAGUUCAUUUGAAUGACACAUGAUGAUUUAGCAGAAAAUAGAAAAUGAAAGCAGAAACUACAAAUUAUUUCUGAAAAUUUUUGCUGUGAAAUCACAUACAAAUAAGAAGGAAGAAUGUACCAAUUAUAUAGAAAUGGGAUGUUUCUUUUCUACUUCAUAUCUUAUUUUUAGGGUGGGGAUGAGCCACUCGGUUAAUGCAAGACACUAAUCCUGAUGUCACAGUGUCAUAUACAGAGAGGAGAGACUGCUUAUUUCAAACCUGCUGGAAUACAAGGACAGAACAGGGACAGGGAAAUACGGACAAAUCAUGUGCAGCAAAACUCUGCUGUGGGAACCAGGCCAUCUUUAAGAGCUUCCGUGGAUGGAAGAAAGUUCCAACACUAGGACCUUGUUGUACCCCGAAGUUUCUAGAGAACUUGAAAUUUCCUAGGUCCAGAUGUGAAGAGAAGCAAGACAUUUCUACUUCUACCCUUUUGCUAAAGCAAGCAGAGUUAAAGGAAUUCCAUAAAGACUCAGAAAAGUGUCUUGGUUUGAUAUUGGUCAAAUGCCAGGCAUGUAUGGAAUUUGUUUG
Molecule: long non-coding RNA, 1332 nt
Filed under: Parus major (Great Tit)
Lineage: Eukaryota; Metazoa; Chordata; Aves; Passeriformes; Paridae
Description: lncRNA (ENSPMJG00000002646.1)
Source: RNAcentral